RNAcentral lists this ribosomal RNA (406 nucleotides) under uncultured bacterium. RNAcentral describes it as "partial 16S ribosomal RNA". It matches the Rfam family "Bacterial small subunit ribosomal RNA", at positions 29 to 526 of the family's 1533-position model. The record is from RNAcentral.
AUUGAACGCUGGCGGCAGGCAUAACACAUGCAAGUCGAAAGAGUGGCGGACGGGUGAGUAAUGGCUGGGAAAUUGCCUGAUGGAGGGGGAUAAAUACUGGAAACGGGAGGUAAUACAGCAUAACAUCAGAUGUGCCAAGAUGGGAUUAGCUGGGUGGUGGGGUAACGGCUCCAAAAGGCGACGCUCCCUAGCUGGGCUGAGAGGAUGACCAGCAAAACUGGAACUGAUACACGGUCCAGACUCCUCCGGUAGGCAGCAGGGGGGAAUAUUGCACAAUGGGCGCAAGCCUGAUGCAGCCAUGCCGAGUGUAUGAAGAAGGCCGUCGGGUUGUAAAGUACUUUCAGCGGGGAGGCGUUACCCGCAGAAGAAGCACCGGCUAACUCCGGGCCAGCAGCCGCGGUAAUUC